Molecule: unclassified non-coding RNA, 346 nt
Filed under: soil metagenome
Description: partial contains 5.8S ribosomal RNA, internal transcribed spacer 2, and large subunit ribosomal RNA
Rfam family: 5.8S ribosomal RNA (bases 1-120)
Source: RNAcentral
GAUGAAGAACGUAGCAAAAUGCGAUAAGUAAUGUGAAUUGCAGAAUUCAGUGAAUCAUCGAAUCUUUGAACGCACAUUGCGCCCGCUGGUAUUCCGGCGGGCAUGCCUGUUCGAGCGUCAUUUCAACCCUCAAGCCCCCGGGUUUGGUGUUGGGGAUCGGCUCUGCCCUUCUGGGCGGUGCCGCCCCCGAAAUACAUUGGCGGUCUCGCUGCAGCCUCCAUUGCGUAGUAGCUAACACCUCGCAACUGGAACGCGGCGCGGCCAUGCCGUAAAACCCCAACUUCUGAAUGUUGACCUCGGAUCAGGUAGGAAUACCCGCUGAACUUAAGCAUAUCAAAAGCGGAGG